This is a long non-coding RNA of Alosa sapidissima (American shad), 925 nucleotides long. RefSeq lists it as uncharacterized. The transcript has 2 exons. NCBI's taxonomy places the organism in Eukaryota, Metazoa, Chordata, Actinopteri, Clupeiformes, Clupeidae. The record is from RefSeq and is a predicted model, not a curated record.
UUUAGAUGACCUGCGUGCUGAUUGGUUGGUUUACAACGAGCGAAGCUCCGGAGCAAAGACGCAAACAUGGCCGACAGCACUCACUGAAACAGCCAAGGUGGAAAUACUAUGGAGACAUAGGUGUUGAACAGCAUAUUUGAGCCUGAAUCAGAGGAAGAAUCUGAAAUAGAGCAGCAACCAGUCGCCCAUAGAUUGGAAAUGACUACUUCAGAGUGGUUAUUAAAAGAAUGACCCAGGUUCCUGAGGAGCUGACCUGAAUGACCAUUAUGGCCUCAAUCCGUUGUGCCUCUAUAUUCUUUGCAAAAUGCAAUGAAUAUUUACAGAGCUGACCAUGGCCGUUUGAGUAUAUAUCAGUAUAGAAAAUAAAAUAUCUUUAACCAAUACACAUUCAUUAUUGGUUCAGCAUAUUGCAAAAAAAAAACGUUUGAUCAACACCACAAAAUGAUCAACUUUAUUUUUUUUUUCAACAAUCGUGAUACUCUGAUGUAAAAUGUAAAAAAAUAAAUAGUAAAAAAAUUUGCUUUUCCACCCUGUUCUCGUUGCAGGCAAUGAAGUGACUUGGCCUACAGGUCUUUUGUGAGCAGGAGCUGGGGUUUCCUUAGAAGAAGCGUCCGUGUCAUGAUCCCCUUGUGUGUGGUGCUACGCAUAUGGAGGGAGCUUCCGGAUACUUCAGGGCAGUACGUUGGAUUCAGACCCCUUUUCGACUGAACCGUGACACAUGUUCAGCAACAGCAUCCUCCAUGGAAGGUCUGUCAAGCUGAGCACACAAGUCCUGGGGCACAGGAAUCCGCUGGACGGCAUCCCAAUAAGGAAGAGGGUCUUUGAUGAUCUCGAAGAGGACAAGAAAGAGGACUUAUAUUGGAUACUGUAAUACAGUGCAUUGUAGGCUGUAUACUGUACAAUAAACAAAUUGUAUGGCCCUGAA